Molecule: ribosomal RNA, 381 nt
Filed under: uncultured eukaryote
Lineage: Eukaryota
Description: SSU rRNA
Rfam family: Eukaryotic small subunit ribosomal RNA
Source: RNAcentral
AGCUCCAAUAGCGUAUAUUAAAGUUGUUGCGGUUAAAAAGCUCGUAGUUGGAUUUCUUCUCUUGUCAGCCGGUCCUCACUUCGUGAGAGUAUCUGGUCAGACUCGAGAAUCCUCUCGGGGAACAUCGUUGCGCUUGAUUGCGUGACAUGGGUGCCGAGACUUUUACUUUGAGGAAAUUGGAGUGUUCACGGCAGGCAAUCGCCUUGUACACAUUAGCAUGGAAUAAUAAUAUAGGAUCUCGAUUCUAUUUUGUUGGUUUCUAGAAUCUUGAUAAUGAUUAAUAGGGACAAUUGGGGGCAUUCGUAUUAACACGUCAGAGGUGGAAUUCUUGGAUUGUGUUACGACGAACUACUGCGAAAGCAUUUGCCAAGGAUGUUUUCA